RNAcentral lists this unclassified non-coding RNA (545 nucleotides) under Hevea brasiliensis (rubber tree). Lineage: Eukaryota; Viridiplantae; Streptophyta; Magnoliopsida; Malpighiales; Euphorbiaceae. The record is from RNAcentral.
AUGGGUAUGUUACCAUGUUUCUGCAUUCUCAUUAUCUCUAUUUUUUAUGCUUAAAAGCUGUUUUAACUUCCAUGGUCUGCUUAGAACAAUUUCAUACUUGUUUGAAGGUUACUGUAGCAAUAAAUGAGGCUUCGCAAUCUUCUUUUACAUUUGGGUUUUGGUAUGUUUUAUGUUGCACUCAGAAAUGGCCUUCAUUGAGGUUUGAAGAAUACUAAAGGUUUGUUUGUAUAUAGUUGGUUCAAGAAUUUUAACUUGAAAGGAACCUACUUUUAGGGGGUUAACAUAUUAAUGAAAGUGCUUAAAGUUUGUAUGUGCUCAAAAGUGAGGAUGGAAAUUGCUACAACCGUGGAAGCUUGCCUCAAUUCAUUUAAUAACAUGUUCUACUGUUUGGUCGGUACUCAGUAGGUUAAUUGAAACGGUUGACCAGUCUGGGCUCUUGGCCCUGAUAAGAAAUUCAGUUUUAUAAUACAAAUUUCUGUGCAAUGUUUUAAACUUUCUCACUAUUUUUUGUUUGUGAUGUAGGAAGAGGUUGCUCGUGAAGCAGA